CCUACGGGGGGCAGCAGUGAGGAAUAUUGGUCAAUGGACGCAAGUCUGAACCAGCCAAGUAGCGUGCAGGAUGACGGCCCUCCGGGUUGUAAACUGCUUUUAGUUGGGAAUAAAAGGGGGCUCGUGAGCCCUGUAUUGUAUGUACCAUCAGAAAAAGGACCGGCUAAUUCCGUGCCAGCAGCCGCGGUAAUACGGAAGGUCCGGGCGUUAUCCGGAUUUAUUGGGUUUAAAGGGAGCGUAGGCCGGCUUUUAAGUCAGCUGUGAAAGUCCGCGGCUCAACCGUGGAAUUGCAGUUGAAACUGGAGGCCUUGAGUGCACACAGGGAUGCCGGAAUUCAUGGUGUAGCGGUGAAAUGCUUAGAUAUCAUGAAGAACUCCGAUCGCGAAGGCAAGUGUCCGGGGUGCAACUGACGCUGAGGCUCGAAAGUGCGGGUAUCAAA
RNAcentral lists this ribosomal RNA (439 nucleotides) under uncultured bacterium. RNAcentral's name for it is "bacterial SSU rRNA". It matches the Rfam family "Bacterial small subunit ribosomal RNA", at positions 338 to 772 of the family's 1533-position model. The record is from RNAcentral.